AAAAUACAAUGUAAAAAUAGAUAAGAGAAAUAUUAUAUCGAAACAGGACAUAAAAUCACAAAACAUAGGAAAUGGAAGAAUUAUGUGUUGUAGGCAGUCCUGAACAGGUGUGUAUUUAAACUGGAUGA
Molecule: long non-coding RNA, 128 nt
Organism: Hippocampus comes (tiger tail seahorse)
Lineage: Eukaryota; Metazoa; Chordata; Actinopteri; Syngnathiformes; Syngnathidae
Exons: 3
Source: RefSeq, a predicted model, not a curated record